GAAAUGCGAUAAGUAAUGUGAAUUGCAGAAUUCAGUGAAUCAUCGAAUCUUUGAACGCACCUUGCGCUCCUUGGUAUUCCUUGGAGCAUGCCUGUUUGAGUAUCAUGAAAUCUUCAAAGUAAAUCUUUUGUUAACUCAAUUGGUUUCUACUUUGGUAUUGGAGGUCUUUGCAGCUUCACACCUGCUCCUCUUUGUUCAUUAGCUGGAUCUCAGUGUUAUGCUUGGUUCCACUCGGCGUGAUAAGUUAUCUAUCGCUGAGGACACUGUAAAAGGUGGCCAAGGUAAAUGCAGAUGAACCGCUUCUAAUAGUCCAUUGACUUGGACAAUACUUUUAUGAUCUGAUCUAAAAUCAGGUAGGACUACCCGCUGAACUUAAGC
This 378-nucleotide unclassified non-coding RNA is filed under the name plant metagenome. RNAcentral's name for it is "partial contains 5.8S ribosomal RNA, internal transcribed spacer 2, and large subunit ribosomal RNA". The stretch from base 1 to 105 matches the Rfam family "5.8S ribosomal RNA", at positions 50 to 154 of the family's 154-position model. The record is from RNAcentral.